Molecule: unclassified non-coding RNA, 209 nt
Filed under: Hevea brasiliensis (rubber tree)
Lineage: Eukaryota; Viridiplantae; Streptophyta; Magnoliopsida; Malpighiales; Euphorbiaceae
Source: RNAcentral
UUCUCUUCAAAUGCAUUAGCUCACGCUUCAAGAAAAUCAUCACCAAGGGUGAUAAAUGAGGCUGUUCAGGCUGCUGCUGCUGCAUUGAAGGGAUCUGACCACCGCCGGAAAACAAAUGUGAGUGCAAGGCUGGAUGCUCAGCAGAAGAGGUUGAACCUUCCAAUUCUUUCUACCACCACGAUUGGAUCCUUCCCUCAGACUCAGGAUCU